AGAGUUUGAUUAUGGCUCAGGAUGAACGCUAGCUACAGGCUUAACACAUGCAAGUCGAGGGGUAGCAGGGUAGCAAUACCGCUGACGACCGGCGCACGGGUGAGUAACACGUAUCCAACCUUCCCAUAACUCGGGGAUAGCCUUUCGAAAGAAAGAUUAAUACCCGAUAGUACUUAAGAAAGGCAUCUUUUUUAAGUUAAAGAUUUAUUGGUUAUGGAUGGGGAUGCGUUCCAUUAGAUAGUUGGUGAGGUAACGGCUCACCAAGUCUUCGAUGGAUAGGGGUUCUGAGAGGAAGGUCCCCCACAUUGGUACUGAGACACGGACCAAACUCCUACGGGAGGCAGCAGUGAGGAAUAUUGGUCAAUGGGCGAGAGCCUGAACCAGCCAAGUAGCGUGAAGGAAUGAAGGUCCUAUGGAUUGUAAACUUCUUUUAUAGUAGAAUAAAGUGAUCCACGUGUGGAUUUUUGUAUGUAUACUAUGAAUAAGGAUCGGCUAACUCCGUGCCAGCCGCGGC
RNAcentral lists this ribosomal RNA (514 nucleotides) under uncultured bacterium. Its description in RNAcentral is "bacterial SSU rRNA". It matches the Rfam family "Bacterial small subunit ribosomal RNA", at positions 8 to 518 of the family's 1533-position model. The record is from RNAcentral.